This is a small nucleolar RNA of Phragmites australis (common reed), 93 nucleotides long. The record is from RefSeq and is a predicted model, not a curated record. NCBI's taxonomy places the organism in Eukaryota, Viridiplantae, Streptophyta, Magnoliopsida, Poales, Poaceae.
ACUUGCUGUGAUGAUGCAACUUUUAAGCUUACAAUGUCAGUUCUGUAUCUGAGAAUUCAUGACAGAGAAAGCUGAAAGACGUCUGAGCCUUGU